GGGAGCUUGGCUCAGUUGGAAGAGCGCAGGUCUCAUAUUGAGUUAUGAUCCCGUCUUAAGACCGGGGCUAUCCUGAGGUCGUGAGUUCGAGCCUCACAGUUCCCA
Molecule: transfer RNA, 105 nt
Organism: Chaetomium globosum CBS 148.51
Lineage: Eukaryota; Fungi; Ascomycota; Sordariomycetes; Sordariales; Chaetomiaceae
Rfam family: tRNA
About the family: Transfer RNA (tRNA) molecules are approximately 80 nucleotides in length. Their secondary structure includes four short double-helical elements and three loops (D, anti-codon, and T loops).
Source: Rfam